UACAUAGGGGGCAAGCGUUGUCCGGAUUUAUUGGGCGUAAAAGGCUUGUAGGUGGCCACGCCAAGUCGGAUGUGAAAUCUCCCGGCUCAACUGGGAGGGGUCAUUCGAUACUGGCGGGCUCGAGGCCGGUAGGGGGAAGUGGAAUUCCCGGUGUAGUGGUGGAAUGCGUAGAUAUCGGGAGGAACACCAGUGGCGAAGGCGGCUUCCUGGACCGGUUCUGACACUGAGGAGCGAAAGCGUGGGGAGCGAUCCGG
RNAcentral lists this ribosomal RNA (254 nucleotides) under uncultured bacterium. RNAcentral's name for it is "partial 16S ribosomal RNA". It matches the Rfam family "Bacterial small subunit ribosomal RNA", at positions 524 to 776 of the family's 1533-position model. The record is from RNAcentral.